Molecule: ribosomal RNA, 247 nt
Filed under: uncultured bacterium
Lineage: Bacteria
Description: partial 16S ribosomal RNA
Rfam family: Bacterial small subunit ribosomal RNA
Source: RNAcentral
AUACGGAGGAUGCAAGCGUUAUCCGGAUUCAUUGGGUUUAAAGGGUGCGCAGGCGGAUGUGUAAGUCAGUGGUGAAAUCCUACGGCUCAACCGUAGAACUGCCAUUGAUACUGCACGUCUUGAGUCUAGUUGAAGUGGGCGGAAUGUAGCAUGUAGCGGUGAAAUGCAUAGAUAUGCUACAGAACACCUAUUGCGAAGGCAGCUCACUAAACUAUAACUGACGCUCAUGCACGAAAGCGUGGGGAGC